Long non-coding RNA from Cajanus cajan (pigeon pea), 498 nucleotides. RefSeq lists it as uncharacterized. The record is from RefSeq and is a predicted model, not a curated record. Lineage: Eukaryota; Viridiplantae; Streptophyta; Magnoliopsida; Fabales; Fabaceae.
UGCCAGUUUCCCACAACACACUGAAAGCAAAGGCUGAAAGUAACUAAACAAGGAGAGAGCUAUAACAUACAUAUAGUCAUGUCAUCAGGGCAGAGAAGGUCAUCAAGAGCUUCAAAGUUCACAGAGAAUGAGAUUAAUGAUCUUGUCUCUAGGUUACAAGUUCUGCUUCCACAAGUGAACCAAAGAGGAAACUCAAGGCAAUCAGCGUCGAAGAUUUUGCAGGAAACUUGUUGUCAUAUUAGGAGGCUGCAGGAAGAGGUGGAACAACUCAGUGAGAGGCUAUCAGAGUUGAUGGAUUCUGUGGACAUCAGUGACAUUGACAGAAGCACUUUACAAAACUUUUUGCAACUAUAACAGAUCAUGCAAUACUCUUUCUCCUUUCCCUUCUGUUUCUUCCCCACUAGUAGAUUGUGGUGGAGCCUUUAAUUCCAACCAUGCAAUAAUAUCAUGUCACCCUCUCCUUCAAAUAAUGGGAAACCAUUAUCUUUUCUUUUGAUU